This 252-nucleotide ribosomal RNA is filed under the name uncultured bacterium. RNAcentral describes it as "partial 16S ribosomal RNA". It matches the Rfam family "Bacterial small subunit ribosomal RNA", at positions 524 to 776 of the family's 1533-position model. The record is from RNAcentral.
UACGGAGGAUGCGAGCGUUAUCCGGAUUUAUUGGGUUUAAAGGGUGCGUAGGCGGGCCUUUAAGUCAGCGGUAAAAAUUCGGGGCUCAACCCCGUCCGGCCGUUGAAACUGGGGGUCUUGAGUGGGCGAGAAGAAGGCGGAAUGCGUGGUGUAGCGGUGAAAUGCAUAGAUAUCACGCAGAACCCCGAUUGCGAAGGCAGCAUACCGGCGCCCUACUGACGCUGAGGCACGAAAGCGUGGGUAUCGAACAGG